Gallus gallus (chicken) is the source of this 1598-nucleotide long non-coding RNA. The record is from Ensembl. Lineage: Eukaryota; Metazoa; Chordata; Aves; Galliformes; Phasianidae.
GUAGUGCUCAAUCUGACCAAAUUCUCAACUUGUUGACCUUAACAGGCCUGAAGCUUUGGAGAACUUAUUUGGGUGAGGGUUAUGUCUUAUUUCCGUUGCACUGCCAAGCUUUUAUGUUCAUUAAAGUUGCUGAACUGUGCUGUCCCUUGACAGCAGGAAGCAUAGGGUUUUUCCCUGCCAAGCAGGACAGGAUCCAGUGAGGCUGCACUCCCUGCUGUGGAUGCAUUUCACAACUGUAAAAAACAUCCAGAUUGUUUCCAGAAGCUAUUUGUGCUGAAAGAUUGUCUAGCCAUGGAUAUAUGUUGAGGAAAAAGUCUUAUCACACUGAGGUACUUUCAUCAACAGUAGCUCACAGAAUGGGACUGCACUGUUGCCAGAUCCAUAAUGCUGAAGGUCUCCUUUCAGAUGACUUUCAGGCAUUGAUUCCCUGACGGUUUUUGCUCUCAGAAAUGAGAAAGCACACAUAAGGAAAGAAACAGAUGAAUGAUUACAACUGAUCUUCAAAGGAAGUGGCACAGUAUUAACAUAUGAAUGGAAAUCUAAUGCAUAUUUUAGAUCAUCGAAAAGAACAAGCAAAUGUGAAGUACUUGAAUGAUAUUGGGCUCCAAAAAUCAUGCAUGCAUCUCAAGAAUCUGGAAAUGGACAGCAAAUAAGAGUCAGGCUGAAAUGUUUAUCCCUGAACAUCUGGGAGAAAGAAGCUGAUGGAAAGAUUUAAAUAGCACCUGAGGGUUUAUCUUGACUACCGGCAGAAAUGUUGGCCUUGUGAAGACUAACCCUGUAGAAACUGAAGAUACAAAACAAAAAAGGUUCGGAGUGCAGAAGUUACCACUCUGCUUGGCUUCAUUGAUGUUGGUGGCUUUAUGUGCAAUAAGGCUGGAGAAUGCUGGAGGUGAAGAGUGAAGCUCUCCAGAGGGAACAGACAGGACCUUCUUAUGAAGGAUUUCAGAUGGCAUGAGAAAUGAAAUGUAAAUGUGGCUCUACCAGCUAAAAGACAAGAGCAUUUACCACUGUGCCAGUGGGAACAGACCUAUGGGAACUUCCCUGUAGGAAUUAAAAAAGACAGCUCGUAGAAGAGUAAAUGAGAGAGACAAGAUAAACAAGGUUUGAGAGAUAAGAUAAGAAUGCUGUUAACUGCAGUCACUAAGAAAGAAGAUGCCCUACUUUUUGCUGACAGUUGUGCACAACCAGCUCUUACUUUCCCUACAUUUCUCUGAGCUGGUCUCACGAGUUGAAGAGAGGCAGGAUUUGAGCAGAUUGAGAUGUUUCAUGGCAUAUUUUAGAACAACAGCUGAUUUACUUUAAAGAAUAUCAUAGAAAAUAGGCCCUGAGCUGGCUGGCUACUCUUUUCAAUCUUCAUCCUCAUCCCUGCCUUUGAUUCUGCUCUGCUGUGAACAUCCUUUGUGACAUGAAAUACUUAAAGAGAGACUGGAGAUCUGGGCAACAGAUUUCAGUAAACAUGAGAUUAUGUGCAACAUGUUUAUUUUGAUGAACAUGAAGAUUUAUUGUUGCUCUCAGAGAAUACUGACCUUGACAUCUCCUCGAUUAAUAUUUAACUCUUGGGUCAAUAAAUCCGGGUAUACACUUAUUCAGAAGUCAAU